UACGUAGGGUGCAAGCGUUUAAUCGGAAUUACUGGGCGUAAAGCGUGCGCAGGCGGUGAUGUAAGACAGGUGUGAAAUCCCCGGGCUUAACCUGGGAACUGCAUUUGUGACUGCAUCGCUGGAGUGCGGCAGAGGGGGAUGGAAUUCCGCGUGUAGCAGUGAAAUGCGUAGAUAUGCGGAGGAACACCGAUGGCGAAGGCAAUCCCCUGGGCCUGCACUGACGCUCAUGCACGAAGCGUGGGGAGCAAACAGGAU
Molecule: ribosomal RNA, 255 nt
Filed under: uncultured bacterium
Lineage: Bacteria
Description: partial 16S ribosomal RNA
Rfam family: Bacterial small subunit ribosomal RNA
Source: RNAcentral